This 462-nucleotide ribosomal RNA is filed under the name uncultured bacterium. Its description in RNAcentral is "SSU rRNA". It matches the Rfam family "Bacterial small subunit ribosomal RNA", at positions 26 to 518 of the family's 1533-position model. The record is from RNAcentral.
AGGAUUAACGCUGGCGGCGUGCCUAACACAUGCAAGUCGAACGAGGUAGCAAUACCUAGUGGCAGACGGGUGAGUAGCGCGUGGUCAACCUACCGUUGAGUGGGGGAUAACUAGCCGAAAGGUUAGCUAAUACCGCAUACGUCUCCGAGGGGCAUCCCUUGGCGAUAAAAGGAGCAAUCCGCUCGAUGACGGGACCGCGUCCCAUUAGCUAGUUGGUGGGGUAACGGCCUACCAAGGCGUCGAUGGGUAGCUGGUUUGAGAGAGCGACCAGCCACACUGGGACUGAGAUACGGCCCAGACUCCUACGGGAGGCAGCAGUGAGGAAUUUUCCGCAAUGGGCGAAAGCCUGACGGAGCGACGCCGCGUGUGGGAAGAAGGCCUUCGGGUCGUAAACCACUGUCGAAGGGGAAGAUAAUGACGGUACCUUGGAGGAAGCCCGGCUAACUACGUGCCAGCAGCCGC